Molecule: ribosomal RNA, 400 nt
Filed under: Klebsiella ornithinolytica
Lineage: Bacteria; Pseudomonadati; Pseudomonadota; Gammaproteobacteria; Enterobacterales; Enterobacteriaceae
Description: Raoultella ornithinolytica partial 23S ribosomal RNA
Rfam family: Bacterial large subunit ribosomal RNA
Source: RNAcentral
GGGUUGUGAGGUUAAGCGACUAAGCGUACACGGUGGAUGCCCUGGCAGUCAGAGGCGAUGAAGGACGUGCUAAUCUGCGAUAAGCGUCGGUAAGGUGAUAUGAACCGUUAUAACCGGCGAUUUCCGAAUGGGGAAACCCAGUGUGAUUCGUCACACUAUCGUUAAGUGAAUACAUAGCUUAACGAAGCGAACCGGGGGAACUGAAACAUCUAAGUACCCCGAGGAAAAGAAAUCAACCGAGAUUCCCCCAGUAGCGGCGAGCGAACGGGGAGGAGCCCAGAGUCUGAAUCAGCGCGUGUGUUAGUGGAACGGUCUGGAAAGUCCGGCGGUACAGGGUGAUAGCCCCGUACACUAAAAUGCACACGUUGUGAACUCGAAGAGUAGGGCGGGACACGUGGUA